GGAUUGUGGCUCAGUGGUACAGUGCUUGCCUCAAAAGUGUGAGGCACUGGGUUCGAUUCUCAGCACCA
Molecule: transfer RNA, 68 nt
Filed under: Marmota monax (woodchuck)
Lineage: Eukaryota; Metazoa; Chordata; Mammalia; Rodentia; Sciuridae
Description: tRNA.Leu
Source: RNAcentral